GAUGAACGCUGGCGGCGUGCCUAAUACAUGCAAGUCGAGCGAACGGACGAGAAGCUUGCUUCUCUGAUGUUAGCGGCGGACGGGUGAGUAACACGUGGAUAACCUACCUAUAAGACUGGGAUAACUUCGGGAAACCGGAGCUAAUACCGGAUAAUAUUUUGAACCGCAUGGUUCAAAAGUGAAAGACGGUCUUGCUGUCACUUAUAGAUGGAUCCGCGCUGCAUUAGCUAGUUGGUAAGGUAACGGCUUACCAAGGCAACGAUGCAUAGCCGACCUGAGAGGGUGAUCGGCCACACUGGAACUUAGACACGGUCCAGACUCCUACGGGAGGCAGCAGUAGGGAAUCUUCCGCAAUGGGCGGAAGCCUGACGGAGCAACGCCGCGUGAGUGAUGAAGGUCUUCGGAUCGUAAAACUCUGUUAUUAGGGAAGAACAAAUGUGUAAGUAACUGUGCACAUCUUGACGGUACCUAAUCAGAAAGCCACGGCUAACUACGUG
This 497-nucleotide ribosomal RNA is filed under the name uncultured bacterium. RNAcentral's name for it is "partial 16S ribosomal RNA". It matches the Rfam family "Bacterial small subunit ribosomal RNA", at positions 28 to 507 of the family's 1533-position model. The record is from RNAcentral.